CCGUGAUAAUGUAGCAUAAUCACUCGCCAUUUAAUUGGUGGAUAGUAUGAAUGGUUGAACGAAUAUUCCACUGUCUUAGAUAAAAUUACAAUAAAUUGAAAUAAUAGUUAAGAUGCUAUUUAAAACUGUAAGACGAAAAGACCCUAUAGAGCUUAACUAUAAUCUCUAUCUAAAAACAAAAAAAAACUAUUUUUUAAUAAUAGAGACUGGUAGUUUAGUUGGGGCGACUAUCUUCUAAAUAAAACGAAGAUAAGCAAUGUAAUAAAAAACUUAUUGUAUAACAUAAAUGUUUAACAAUUAUAAAAAUAGGCUAUAAUGACCCGUUGAUACUUGGUAAAAAGAACAACGAUCAAUUAAUAAAAGCUACCUUAGGGAUAACAGGAUAAUUUUAUUUUAGAGUUCCAAUCGAAAAUAAA
This 416-nucleotide ribosomal RNA is filed under the name Tima formosa. RNAcentral's name for it is "partial 16S ribosomal RNA". It matches the Rfam family "Bacterial large subunit ribosomal RNA", at positions 1946 to 2515 of the family's 2925-position model. Lineage: Eukaryota; Metazoa; Cnidaria; Hydrozoa; Leptothecata; Eutimidae. The record is from RNAcentral.